This is a non-coding RNA of Oryza punctata, 197 nucleotides long. Lineage: Eukaryota; Viridiplantae; Streptophyta; Magnoliopsida; Poales; Poaceae. The record is from Rfam.
AAAGACCGUAGUUUUGCAUUGUUUAUAUCCAAUGUUUGACCAUCCGUCUUAUUUGAAAAUUUUUUACCAUUAGUAUUUUUGUUGUUAUUAGAUGAUAAAACAUGAAUAGUACUUUAUGUGUGACUAAUUUUUUUUAUUUUUUUCAAAUAAGAUGGACGUUUAAGAGUUGAACACGGAAACCCACAAUUGCACUUAAA